UACGGAGGGUGCAAGCGUUAUCCGGAUUCACUGGGUUUAAAGGGUGCGUAGGUGGGCAGGUAAGUCAGUGGUGAAAUCUCCGGGCUUAACUCGGAAACUGCCAUUGAUACUAUCUGUCUUGAAUACCGUGGAGGUCAGCGGAAUAUGUCAUGUAGCGGUGAAAUGCUUAGAUAUGACAUAGAACACCAAUUGCGAAGGCAGCUGGCUACACGAAUAUUGACACUGAUGCACGAAAGCGUGGGGAUCAAGCAGG
Molecule: ribosomal RNA, 253 nt
Filed under: uncultured bacterium
Lineage: Bacteria
Description: partial 16S ribosomal RNA
Rfam family: Bacterial small subunit ribosomal RNA
Source: RNAcentral